CCUACGGGAGGCAGCAGUGAGGAAUAUUGGUCAAUGGACGAGAGUCUGAACCAGCCAAGUAGCGUGAAGGAUGACUGCCCUAUGGGUUGUAAACUUCUUUUAUAUGGGAAUAAAACAGGGUAUGCAUACCCUCUUGUAGGUACCAUAUGAAUAAGGAUCGGCUAAUUCCGUGCCAGCAGCCGCGGUAAUACGGAGGGUCCGAGCGUUAUCCGGAUUUAUUGGGUUUAAAGGGAGCGUAGGCGGGUUGUUAAGUCUGUUGUGAAAGUGCGUGGCUCAACCGUAGAAUUGCAGUUGAAACUGGAUUGCUUGAGGGCAGUAGAGGUAUGCGGAAUUCGUGGUGUAGCGGUGAAAUGCUUAGAUAGCACGAAGAACUCCGAUUGCGAAGGCAGCAUACUGGAGUGCAACUGACGCUGAUGCUCGAAGGGGUGGGUAUCGAACAGGAUUAGAUACCCCUGUAGUC
RNAcentral lists this ribosomal RNA (460 nucleotides) under uncultured bacterium. RNAcentral's name for it is "partial 16S ribosomal RNA". It matches the Rfam family "Bacterial small subunit ribosomal RNA", at positions 338 to 795 of the family's 1533-position model. The record is from RNAcentral.